UACGUAGCAGAGCAGCUCCCUCGCU
Molecule: non-coding RNA, 25 nt
Filed under: Gallus gallus (chicken)
Lineage: Eukaryota; Metazoa; Chordata; Aves; Galliformes; Phasianidae
Also listed under: 2 other names
Source: RNAcentral